GUCCUAGCUGUAAACGGUGCACAUUUGCUGUAAGGGGAUUCGACCCCUUUUGUGGCGAAGCUAACGCGUUAAAUGUGCCGCCUGGGGAAGUACGGUCGCAAGAUUAAAACUCAAAGAAAUUGACGGGGGCCUGCACAAGCGGUGGAGUAUGUGGCUUAAUUCGAUGCAACGCGAAGAACCUUACCUGGCCUUGACAUGCAAGUGGUAAAAGGAUGAAAGUCCGAUGAUCCCGCAAGGGAAGCUUGCACAGGUGCUGCAUGGCUGUCGU
This 268-nucleotide ribosomal RNA is filed under the name uncultured bacterium. RNAcentral describes it as "partial 16S ribosomal RNA". It matches the Rfam family "Bacterial small subunit ribosomal RNA", at positions 793 to 1055 of the family's 1533-position model. The record is from RNAcentral.